Molecule: ribosomal RNA, 84 nt
Filed under: Alberta magna
Lineage: Eukaryota; Viridiplantae; Streptophyta; Magnoliopsida; Gentianales; Rubiaceae
Description: partial 18S ribosomal RNA
Source: RNAcentral
GGAUCGCGGCGACGUGAGCGGUUCGCUGCCCGCGACGUCGCGAGAAGUCCACUGAACCUUAUCAUUUAGAGGAAGGAGAAGUCG